RNAcentral lists this ribosomal RNA (515 nucleotides) under Rhodococcus sp. D40. RNAcentral describes it as "bacterial SSU rRNA". It matches the Rfam family "Bacterial small subunit ribosomal RNA", at positions 371 to 896 of the family's 1533-position model. The record is from RNAcentral. Lineage: Bacteria; Bacillati; Actinomycetota; Actinomycetes; Mycobacteriales; Nocardiaceae.
AUGGGCGAAAGCCUGAUGCAGCGACGCCGCGUGAGGGAUGACGGCCUUCGGGUUGUAAACCUCUUUCAGCAGGGACGAAGCGAAAGUGACGGUACCUGCAGAAGAAGCACCGGCCAACUACGUGCCAGCAGCCGCGGUAAUACGUAGGGUGCAAGCGUUGUCCGGAAUUACUGGGCGUAAAGAGCUCGUAGGCGGUUUGUCGCGUCGUCUGUGAAAACUCGAGGCUCAACCUCGAGCUUGCAGGCGAUACGGGCAGACUUGAGUACUGCAGGGGAGACUGGAAUUCCUGGUGUAGCGGUGAAAUGCGCAGAUAUCAGGAGGAACACCGGUGGCGAAGGCGGGUCUCUGGGCAGUAACUGACGCUGAGGAGCGAAAGCGUGGGUAGCGAACAGGAUUAGAUACCCUGGUAGUCCACGCCGUAAACGGUGGGCGCUAGGUGUGGGUUUCCUUCCACGGGAUCCGUGCCGUAGCUAACGCAUUAAGCGCCCCGCCUGGGGAGUACGGCCGCAAGGCUA